RNAcentral lists this ribosomal RNA (278 nucleotides) under Faecalibacterium prausnitzii. Its description in RNAcentral is "partial 16S ribosomal RNA". It matches the Rfam family "Bacterial small subunit ribosomal RNA", at positions 499 to 776 of the family's 1533-position model. Lineage: Bacteria; Bacillati; Bacillota; Clostridia; Eubacteriales; Oscillospiraceae. The record is from RNAcentral.
UAUGGUAUUGCAGCAGCCGCGGUAAAACGUAGGUCACAAGCGUUGUCCGGAAUUACUGGGUGUAAAGGGAGCGCAGGCGGGAAGACAAGUUGGAAGUGAAAUCUAUGGGCUCAACCCAUAAACUGCUUUCAAAACUGUUUUUCUUGAGUAGUGCAGAGGUAGGCGGAAUUCCCGGUGUAGCGGUGGAAUGCGUAGAUAUCGGGAGGAACACCAGUGGCGAAGGCGGCCUACUGGGCACCAACUGACGCUGAGGCUCGAAAGUGUGGGUAGCAAACAGG